GAUGAAGAACGUAGCGAAAUGCGAUAAGUAAUGUGAAUUGCAGAAUUCAGUGAAUCAUCGAAUCUUUGAACGCACCUUGCGCUCCUUGGUAUUCCGAGGAGCAUGCCUGUUUGAGUGUCAUGAAAUUCUCAACCUUUCUGGCUUUUGCUAGUCAGGCUUGGAUUAUGGGAGCUGCUGGCUUUUGAAGUCGGCUCUUCUAAAAUGUAUUAGCAAGAUCAUUGCAGCUCAUCAUUGGUAUGAUAAUUAUCUAUAUCAUUGAGAGUCAGUUUCCUUUAUUGGAAGAUUUUGCUCCUAACGGUCUUUAGCAAGACAACAUUUGACGAUUUUGACCUCAAAUCAGGUAGGACUACCCGCUGAACUUAAGCAUAUCAAUAAGCGGAGGA
This 383-nucleotide unclassified non-coding RNA is filed under the name soil metagenome. Its description in RNAcentral is "partial contains 5.8S ribosomal RNA, internal transcribed spacer 2, and large subunit ribosomal RNA". The stretch from base 1 to 120 matches the Rfam family "5.8S ribosomal RNA", at positions 35 to 154 of the family's 154-position model. The record is from RNAcentral.